This 890-nucleotide long non-coding RNA is filed under the name Daucus carota (carrot). RNAcentral describes it as "long non-coding RNA (DCAR_LNC005720)". The record is from RNAcentral. Lineage: Eukaryota; Viridiplantae; Streptophyta; Magnoliopsida; Apiales; Apiaceae.
CCCCCUUAUCUUUCUCUCCAAACUCCAAUCGGCAGGUCGACGGCCUUCCCCCUUUAUGCUUCUCUCUCUCAGGUGUCUCUCUUCUCUUCUCUUCUCUCUCUGACCAUCUAGCUUUAUUCUCUUCUCUCUGUCCAAUAUUCUCUCUCGUUGUCUCUCUUCUCUGUCCGGCUCUCUCUUCUCUUCUCUGUAGUUGUCUCUCUUCUCUUUAUCCUCUUGUUUUCUUGUUUUUCUUCUUCACUUUGUGUUGGAGUAGCCCUGUGCCUAGAGGGAGUGGCCUUUUUUGGCAGAAGCUUGAGGUUCAUCAGAAGCACUUAAAUCGACUCAACAAGCCCCCCAUCAAAUCCAUUCAGGUCAUAUCUUUACAUCUACUCACAUUUUUAUGUAUGUAUUUAGCAUUUGUGUCACAUUUGUUUUUGCAUUUGUAUAGUAUUUUGAUUUUGUUUAUAGGAAAGUAUAGUUCUUAAUUGGUGUUGUUUUGAAUGAGCAGAGCCCAGAUGGGGAUACCAUUUACUUUAUUCCAAUCUCACAUCAGCCUGCUUUUGAACACCUUCUCCUUAAGGAUCAGAAUAUCUAGGUCCCCUUUUUAAUUUUUGAGAAAAUGUGCUUAAAGAGAUGACAUUUUGAGAGCAAGCUCAGUUAAAGAUAUGAUAAAAAGAAGCAUAGAUUUCUUUAUUUAUUUUCAUCCCCCUCAUCUCUCUCUCUCUGUUCUGUUUUUUUGUAAGGGGGGCUAUUUUAUUGUUUAGUUUUGACUUACCGGAGUAGCUGCCUUGUUUGAAUCUGCCGGAAUGAUGCUCCUCCACCAGAAUCCAGGAGGAGCUCUAGAUGCUGCUGCUGUUGUAUUGCUCACUCUUUUCACUCCCUCUAGCCGCGCCUCUUCUUCAUUUCUGCCG